This is a non-coding RNA of Ataeniobius toweri, 96 nucleotides long. The record is from the annotation of a GenBank genome assembly. Lineage: Eukaryota; Metazoa; Chordata; Actinopteri; Cyprinodontiformes; Goodeidae.
UGCAUGGUGGCGCAGUUGGUAGCACUGUUGCCUUGCACUGUUGCCUUGCAGCAAGAAGGUCCUGGGUUCUACUCUCAGCUGGGGGUCUUUCCGCAU